CUCAGUUCAGGACUCCUGUCCCUAUGGUGUCACAGCCUCCAGGUGACGCAGUGAACGGUGCCACACCUGGGCUUACCAGCUGUGACAAAUUCCAGUGAAACAAAGCAAAUAGUCUCCCCCACUGGCCACCUGUCCAAGAGCAAGGACUAUGUCUCAAUUCACCCAUGCUCAAAACAGAGCCGGACACAGAAGAGAUUAGCAAAUGUUUGACAAAUCAACUGCUGGUCACAACACCCCCAAUUGGAUGUGUGAUCCUUGAACGCUUCACAAUGCUAAUCCAGUCCACUGAAAAAUGUGGAGGGA
This is a long non-coding RNA of Hyaena hyaena (striped hyena), 303 nucleotides long. RefSeq lists it as uncharacterized. The transcript is spliced from 4 exons. NCBI's taxonomy places the organism in Eukaryota, Metazoa, Chordata, Mammalia, Carnivora, Hyaenidae. The record is from RefSeq and is a predicted model, not a curated record.